Molecule: long non-coding RNA, 313 nt
Filed under: Carica papaya (papaya)
Lineage: Eukaryota; Viridiplantae; Streptophyta; Magnoliopsida; Brassicales; Caricaceae
Description: long non-coding RNA (CPAP_LNC010275)
Source: RNAcentral
GAUAUCCAAUAAGGUUACCAUUCAUUAAUUCAUAUAACCAAACAAUUUUUCGUUUCAUAUUAAUUUCAAAUUUCACAAAUCAACUGUAAAUUACGCACGACAAGUAAUAUAUACAUUAAGGAAGCACAACAGAAUCAUUCAACCAUUUCAAUAUAUCAUCAUGUAUUUAACGCUGUAAAUUCAACAAUCAGUUAAACAGAACAAAUAAAGAACUAACUGGUUUUGGCUCCAUUAAUAACCUGUAAUUAUUCUCGAAUUUUUUUAAAUUACACAAAAUACCAUAUUAUCGAUUAUUAAACUUCAAUUCCAUAAC